UGGGAGUACAGAGAGACAAUGUGAUGCAUGAUGGAAGGUCAUGCUGGUGCCAGCCUUUUGCUAUGUCAUGGCAGGAGCCUAGAGCUACAAGGAGAAAAGCUGCUUUCUCUCUUUUAGAUGAAGUAUUGCCAAGAUGAAUUUCAUCUCAUACUGCACUGGAAAUACUGGAACAAAGGAUAUCACAACAAUUUCCUUUUCAUUAGAGGAAUAUACACUAGAUCAAAUUCAUCUCAACUGAGCCAGACCGCAAAGUUCAAUAUUUCUAACUUAUCCUCAGAAUUACAGUUUUCAGGUGUCUAGACCCUAACAAAUUCAACAGACAAUAUGAAAGACCAGAUUAUCACAAAAUAUGUAUCUAUAUCAUAACAGAAACACAUAUGAUGGAAGAGAAUUGUACCACAAAAACACAGUUGUACCACACAACUGCAUAAAAUUAUUUGAAACAGAUUUAUCUGAAAAAAAAAUUGUCUGCAGAGUAGUCAUCCUGAUUGCAACCUCAAGCUAUCAGAGUUUGUUGGGCAUUCCUAGUUCUAUUGA
This is a long non-coding RNA of Mauremys reevesii (Reeves's turtle), 537 nucleotides long. RefSeq lists it as uncharacterized. The record is from RefSeq and is a predicted model, not a curated record. The transcript has 4 exons. NCBI's taxonomy places the organism in Eukaryota, Metazoa, Chordata, Testudines, Geoemydidae.